Molecule: ribosomal RNA, 390 nt
Filed under: uncultured archaeon
Lineage: Archaea
Description: bacterial SSU rRNA
Rfam family: Archaeal small subunit ribosomal RNA
Source: RNAcentral
AUAGGCGAAAGCCUGACAGGGUUACUCUGAGUGACUCUCGUUAAGAGGGUCUUUUGGCACCUCUAAAAAGGGUGUAGAAUAAGGGGUGGGCAAGUCUGGUGUCAGCCGCCGCGGUAAUACCAGCACCCCGAGUGGUCGGGACGAUUAUUGGGCCUAAAGCAUCCGUAGCCGGUACUGCAAGUCUUCCGUUAAAUCCACCUGCUCAACAGUUGGGCUGCGGAGGAUACUACAGCGCUAGGAGGCGGGAGAGGCAAGCGGUACUCAGUGGGUAGGGGUAAAAUCCAUUGAUCCAUUGAAGACCACCAGUGGCGAAGGCGGCUUGCCAGAACGCGCUCGACGGUGAGGGAUGAAAGCUGGGGGAGCAAACCGGAUUAGAUACCCGGGUAGUCC